RNAcentral lists this ribosomal RNA (389 nucleotides) under uncultured euryarchaeote. RNAcentral describes it as "bacterial SSU rRNA". It matches the Rfam family "Archaeal small subunit ribosomal RNA", at positions 85 to 475 of the family's 1478-position model. The record is from RNAcentral. Lineage: Archaea; Methanobacteriati; Methanobacteriota.
ACUGCUCAGUAACACGUAGAUAAUUUGCCCUUAGGUGGAGGAUACCCUCGGGAAACUGAGAAUAAUACUCCAUAGAUUUAAACUGCUGGAAUGCUUUUAAAUUGAAAGAUUUAUCGCCUAAGGAUAAGUCUGCGGACUAUCAGGUUGUAGUUAGGGUAAAUACCUGACUAGCCUACGACGGAUACGGGUAGUGAGAGCUUUAGCCCGGAGAUGAUAUCUGAGACACGAUAUCAGGCCCUACGGGGCGCAGCAGGCGCGAAAACUUCGCACUGUGCGAAAGCACGACGAGGGAAUCCCAAGUGCUGGCUCGUAAGAGUCAGCUGUUUUUCUGUCUAAAAAACAGGGAGAGUAAGAGCUGGGUAAGACGGGUGCCAGCAGCCGCGGUAAUA